UUUCAAGAGGCGUUUUCCACGAACGCGGCAAUUUUUGCCGGCAAGUUGCGUCGCACUCUGCAUUCGCUGGUUAAUCAGCCUGAUACGAUGCGUAUAAAGUGUCUAAUCCAGAGAUGAUCCUCUAAUUAUCUUGGUCCUGACAUUUUCAAGCGUCCAAUGCUAUCGCGAUCAACGUCCCUCAGAGUUUCUGCUCGAUGACAGCCCUCCGUCAUUGCUUCUUCAUCGAAAGAUAAGAGCCGCGUAGAAUAAAUAAUAUCUGGCCGUGGUUGGCGUUAAUGAAACGCUUUCAAUGAAACUUACAAAUUUAAAACACCCGAUUGUCCUGGCUCGAAACAUCGUAAAGCGUCGAUCCGCUCGAGGAAAGCCGCCUCCUCCGACGAGGAAGAAAACAAAGCAACGCGAACGAACCUCGAUUUGCCCGAGCUGCUGCGUCCCUCUCUCUUGCUGCACGUUGGAACGCGAAAGCUCGCGUAAAUCCCCUUCUGAAUACGGCGGCAACCCAGUUUAUCGGCCGUAGGCGCCACAGGCGCUUCUUUAUGCCGGCGUGCGAAACGUGAAUGGCUUCCGUGAACCUGAACCCGACCGACAAACCACCGUCGCCGCCAAUGUCAACGGGACAGGCCGCCGUUAACCAAUGUC
RNAcentral lists this unclassified non-coding RNA (639 nucleotides) under Bombus terrestris (buff-tailed bumblebee). RNAcentral's name for it is "misc RNA ENSBTSG00005022118.1". The record is from RNAcentral. Lineage: Eukaryota; Metazoa; Arthropoda; Insecta; Hymenoptera; Apidae.